This 286-nucleotide ribosomal RNA is filed under the name uncultured bacterium. RNAcentral describes it as "partial 16S ribosomal RNA". It matches the Rfam family "Bacterial small subunit ribosomal RNA", at positions 207 to 507 of the family's 1533-position model. The record is from RNAcentral.
UAAGUUUUUCGGUCAGGGAUGGGCCCGCGGCCUAUCAGCUAGUUGGUGGGUAAUGGCCUACCAAGGCGACGACGGGUAGCCGGCCUGAGAGGGCGACCGGCCACACUGGGACUGAGACACGGCCCAGACUCCUACGGGAGGCAGCAGUGGGGAAUAUUGCGCAAUGGCGAAAGCCUGACGCAGCGACGCCGCGUGAGGGAUGAAGGCCUUCGGGUUGUAAACCUCUUUCAGCAGGGACGAAGCGAAAGUGACGGUACCUGCAGAAGAAGCACCGGCUAACUACGUG